Small nucleolar RNA from Pongo abelii (Sumatran orangutan), 118 nucleotides. Its record names the gene U3. It matches the Rfam family "Small nucleolar RNA U3". Rfam says of the family: Small nucleolar RNAs (snoRNAs) are involved in the processing and modification of rRNA in the nucleolus. There are two main classes of snoRNAs: the box C/D class, and the box H/ACA class. U3 snoRNA is a member of the box C/D class. The record is from Ensembl. NCBI's taxonomy places the organism in Eukaryota, Metazoa, Chordata, Mammalia, Primates, Hominidae.
AAGACUAUACUUUCAGGGAUCAUUUCUACAGUUUGUUACUAGAGAAGUUUCUCUGAACGUGUAGAGCACCGAGAACCUACAAAAUACCAUGAAAUGAGAAGUGAUGAUAAAGAGUGGU